AAAGACAUUCAAAGCUCAGGAGCAUAUUGCGAAAAAUGCUUUAGUAUUUCCAAAUAUUUUUAAAAUUCAUUUUUCAGGAUGUUGAAACACUAAUAUUACCUCCCGUAAUUGCUCUUGAGCAAUAUGGUGCUGGUUGAAAAGCUUCAUGAUUUAGCAAUAAUUAAUAGUAAUAUAUUUCCAUACCCUGGGUAUCAACAUCUUUGACGAUCUACCCUGGACCCAACAUAUCAAGGCAGCUACAAAGAAGGUUUGCUGAGUAUGCUGCAGGAAGAAGAUUCUCUGGGUUGUAUGUGGUGACAUGAAGCCACAAAACACGGAACCCAAAAGAGCCCAUUUAAACAAAGAAGACUGGCAAACAAUAUAACCAGGGACUCGAAGCCUUUGCUUUGAUGAAUCACUUAAUUCAGCCAAGGAGACGUGAGCUAUUGCUGCUUUGCUCUUGUGAGUAAGGUUACAUUAGGACCUAGAUUAGUGCUGAAAUCUGAGUGUCAAUUUCAAAACAAGUUUUACAUCCUUUGUCUACAGUCUUUGAAGUGCUGACAAGUGUAUCAACGUUAGAUUCUCCUAACAUCAGGCACUGUGAAGCAGCAGCAACAACCUAGCAACAAACCUUCCCAAUCCACAACUUUCAGUCCACAUUAUUUUUUAUUGUGCACUUCAAGCAAUACCUCCCAGAAACAAACACCCUGAUUUAACCCAAUCACAAGACAAUUUACAAUGACCAAUUACCCUACCAACUGGUACGUCUUUGGACUGUGGGAGGAAAGCAGAACACACAGAAGAAACUCAUGCAGCCAAGUGGAGAACGUACAAACUCCUUGCACAGUGGCCUUUGUAAACACUGCCAGUUAAAGAAAUGGUUUGCAAUGAGACGUACUUCCAGUCCAUAACAUAAAGCUGUAGUCAGCAAUAGCUACCCUUCUCUUAGCCCAAUGGAGCUAUUGGAGAGAGAAAGCACCACAAAACUGCCUUCGAUCUUCAUCAUUUAACAGGACUAAACAAAACAAAUGCUGUUGUUACAGUGUGGGAAUAAUUUUCUGCUGUCAGGAGACAACACUUUCUGACUAUAUUUGGUGCUUUGUGUUGUGCUUUUCACAUGGUUUUCACAGAUUAGAUUCACCAACAUUAAAACUACUACAGCAUCACCAUGUUGCUUCACUAUUAGAUCAAUGUCUUGUUUUUGCAAGUUCCUCCAUUUAUAAUCUUGAGAAAAUCUGCUGCAAAUUGCAAACACUUACAACUUUCUAUAUCUAGGGAAAUUAGACUUAAAUUAAUGGAUGAGGCAAAAUAUUAAAAUAAUCUAACUAAUAUAUUUAACCACUCAGGACAUGCUCUUUUUUCGCUGCUGCCAUCAGGAAGAAGGUACAGGAGCCUCAGGACUCCCACCACCAGGUUCAGGAACAGUUACUAUCCCUCAACCAUCAGGCUCUUGAACCAAAGGGGAAUAACUUCACUCAACUUCACUUGCCCCAUCACGGAAAACUUCCCACGACCUAUGGACUCACUUUCAACAUAGAAAUUUACAGCACAUCACAGGCCCUUUGGCAACGAUGUAACCUACUCUAGAAACUGCCUAGAAUUUCUCUAUUGCAUAGCUCUCUAAGCUCCAUAUACCUAUCUAAGAGUCUCUUAAAAAGACCCUAUUGUAUCUGCCUCUAUCACAAUCGCUGGAGAUGCAUUCUAUGCCCCCAGCACUCUCUGUGUGAAAAGGACUCUUCAUCUAAUGUUCUCAAUAUUUCUUACUUAUUUAUUUAUUAUUUCUAUUUUUUUUUGUAUUUCCACAGUUUUGUUUUGAACACCAGAGCUGGUGCCAUCUUUCAUUGAUAUUAUUAUUCUAAUAUGGAUUUACUGAGUAUGCCCACAAGAAAAUGAACCUCAGGGUUAUAUACAGUGUAAUAUUUGUACUUUGCUAAUGAAAUUUACUUUGAACUUUGAAGCAUGUAGACCAAUUGAAGGUAGAAAGUAUUAAACAGGAUGCCAUUUAACCCAUUGCAUUCCUGAUUGCCUUUCAGAACUACUUCCCACUGUGUAAGAUUUCACUCUCCUUUUUUGACUUCAAUGCUUCAAAUGUUGAGCUACUUUUGUUUUAGAAGCAUCAAUGGAGUCUCGAACAACAUUAUUUCUGAAUGUACUUUUUAUUGUCCCAACACUCUGUAUGAAAGAAUUUGGUGUUAUGAUAUUCAAUUUUUUAUGCAGUGAAGAUAGUUUCUCAAUAUACACCUCAACACACCAGUAUCUAACUUCGAAUGUCAUUAAUGGACCUUUUAAUAAUUGUACAUUUAAUUAAAACAAUGAUGAUCACCUGCAGACUCAGAGUAUGCAAGGACUUUGUCAGGAUUUUUAAAAGAUCCAUUUACCUCAGUUUGUGGACAAGUUUUAUUAAUAAGAUUGAGAGUCAUAGAGCACAAAACAGGUCCACACUGACCAUCAAACACCCACUUAUACAAAUUCCAUUUUAUUCAACAUUUCUUCUGAUAUACCCUGACAAACCGCUUUUUGCUUAAGCCCAUUUGUUGUUAGAAGUGAAUGGAGUAUUGUAUGAUGUAGACAUUCCUUAAAAUAUAAAUGAGUUAUGAAUUUGAAUUUUAACACCACUGACUCGUUAGGGUGCAUGUCUCUGAACAAAAAAGUUCAUAGUCUCUAGCUGAAUUGUCAGUGUAGUAACAGACCCAAAGGAAACACCCCUCACCUCUUAGUGCCUAAAACUUACAGGACAGUUAAUGCACAACUGUACAAUACUGAAUUAUUUCAUCAUUCAGGAAAAUGUAAAAGUUGCUGUAAUCUUGCACUAGAAUACAUACUUAAACAAAAUUAACGGCAUUCUUUUAUUUGUUGCACAAGCCAGCCCACCUGCUAAUGCAGAUGUAUAUCAGAAAAAUAGGGAGCAAUUCUUUAUAUCUUAAAAUAUACUUUAUCAAUUAGAACAAUUGAGGCAAGCUGCAUGUUUACUUAAAAGUCAGAAUCUGUUGCUGAGAAGAACUUUGCCUGGGCAAUAUAAAAGAUUUCACUGCCUAAAUGUAGAAUUUUAAUAACAGAUUUUAAUGAAGUUUGCAAUGAUAUAAAAACAGCCAUGUGCAAUGAUACAAAAGCCAACCAGGGAAUGCAAACAUCUCAAUUCAAUUUGGACUUUUAGUUGUCACUGCUUUAACCAAUUUAAAUAUAACCAGUAUUAAGUUUGGUAUAGAUUAGAUAAAGCCUAACUCAGAAUUUAGAGAAAUAUCAUGUCUUGAGGUAUAUGCU
This is a long non-coding RNA of Hypanus sabinus (Atlantic stingray), 3240 nucleotides long. RefSeq lists it as uncharacterized. The transcript has 3 exons. The record is from RefSeq and is a predicted model, not a curated record. Lineage: Eukaryota; Metazoa; Chordata; Chondrichthyes; Myliobatiformes; Dasyatidae.